Molecule: ribosomal RNA, 460 nt
Filed under: uncultured bacterium
Lineage: Bacteria
Description: partial 16S ribosomal RNA
Rfam family: Bacterial small subunit ribosomal RNA
Source: RNAcentral
CCUACGGGCGGCAGCAGUGAGGAAUAUUGGUCAAUGGACGAGAGUCUGAACCAGCCAAGUAGCGUGAAGGAUGACUGCCCUAUGGGUUGUACACUUCUUUUAUAAAGGAAUAAAACGAGGCACGUGUGCCUUUUUGCAUUUACUUUAUGAAUAAGGAUCGGCUAACUCCGUGCCAGCAGCCGCGGUAAUACGGAGGAUCCGAUCGUUAUCCGGAUUUAUUGGGUUUAAAGGGAGCGUAGAUGGGUUGUUGAGUCAGUUGUUAAAGUUUGCGGCUCAACCGUAAAAUUGCAAUUGAUACUGGCAGUCUUGAGUACAGUUGAGGUAGGCGGAAUUCGUGGUGUAGCGGUGAAAUGCUUAGAUAUCACGAAGAACCCCGAUUGCGAAGGCAGCUUACUAAACUGUGACUGACAUUGAUGCUCGAAAGUGUGGGUAUCAAACAGGAUUAGAUACCCCUGUAGUC